RNAcentral lists this ribosomal RNA (479 nucleotides) under Blastocystis sp. RNAcentral describes it as "SSU rRNA". It matches the Rfam family "Eukaryotic small subunit ribosomal RNA", at positions 460 to 953 of the family's 1831-position model. Lineage: Eukaryota; Bigyra; Opalinata; Blastocystidae. The record is from RNAcentral.
GGAGGUAGUGACAAUAAAUCACAAUGCGGGACUGUUAGUCUUGCAAUUGGAUUGAGAACAACGUACAACUCUUAUCGAUAAGCCAUUGGAGGGCAAGUCUGGUGCCAGCAGCCGCGGUAAUUCCAGCUCCAAUAGCGUAUAUUAACGUUGUUGCAGUUAAAAAGCUCGUAGUUGAAGUGAGGGAGUGUGUAGUAGGACCGACUUGAUCGGAACUGCUGCAACCUCCCCCCUCCAAUCGGUGUAGUGGGGUAUUCACUUAUUUCACUACUCCUUUGGUCGUUUACUGUGAGAAAAUUAGAGUGUUCAAAGCGGGCGUUUGUUUGAAUAGAUUAGCAUGGAAUAAUGAUUGAAGGCUUUCGUGUUCGAUUUGAUUGGUUUGUUCAUGGAAGCAAGGUUAAAAGGAACAGUUGGGGGUAUUCAUAUUCACUAGUUAGAGGUGAAAUUCUCGGAUUUAUGGAAGAUGAACAAGUGCGAAAGCA